This 449-nucleotide ribosomal RNA is filed under the name uncultured bacterium. RNAcentral describes it as "SSU rRNA". It matches the Rfam family "Bacterial small subunit ribosomal RNA", at positions 26 to 518 of the family's 1533-position model. The record is from RNAcentral.
AGAGCGAACGCUGGCGGCAGGCUUAACACAUGCAAGUCGAGCGGGCGUAGCAAUACGUCAGCGGCAGACGGGUGAGUAACGCGUGGGAACGUACCUUUUGGUUCGGAACAACCCAGGGAAACUUGGGCUAAUACCGGAUAAGCCCUUACGGGGAAAGAUUUAUCGCCGAAAGAUCGGCCCGCGUCUGAUUAGCUAGUUGGUGAGGUAAUGGCUCACCAAGGCGACGAUCAGUAGCUGGUCUGAGAGGAUGAUCAGCCACAUUGGGACUGAGACACGGCCCAAACUCCUACGGGAGGCAGCAGUGGGGAAUAUUGGACAAUGGGCGCAAGCCUGAUCCAGCCAUGCCGCGUGAGUGAUGAAGGCCCUAGGGUUGUAAAGCUCUUUUGUGCGGGAAGAUAAGUGACGGUACCGCAAGAAUAACGCCCGGCUAACUUCGCGCCAGCAGCCGC